CGGGCGGACGGGUGAGUAACACGUGGAUAACCUACCUAUAAGACUGGGAUAACUUCGGGAAACCGGAGCUAAUACCGGAUAAUAUAUUGAACCGCAUGGUUCAAUAGUGAAAGACGGUUUUGCUGUCACUUAUAGAUGGAUCCGCGCCGCAUUAGCUAGUUGGUAAGGUAACGGCUUACCAAGGCAACGAUGCGUAGCCGACCUGAGAGGGUGAUCGGCCACACUGGAACUGAGACACGGUCCAGACUCCUACGGGAGGGCAGCAGAC
This 268-nucleotide ribosomal RNA is filed under the name uncultured Staphylococcus sp. RNAcentral describes it as "partial 16S ribosomal RNA". It matches the Rfam family "Bacterial small subunit ribosomal RNA", at positions 95 to 357 of the family's 1533-position model. The record is from RNAcentral. Lineage: Bacteria; Bacillati; Bacillota; Bacilli; Caryophanales; Staphylococcaceae.